AGAAAUAUGUCUGACAAAAAGAGUUAUCUUGAUAGGAUAAAUCAUAGGGGUGCAAACCCCCUUAUUUCUA
This 70-nucleotide transfer RNA is filed under the name Ailurops ursinus. RNAcentral describes it as "tRNA-Ile". Lineage: Eukaryota; Metazoa; Chordata; Mammalia; Diprotodontia; Phalangeridae. The record is from RNAcentral.